UGGCUCAACAGUUAAGAGCACUGGCUGUUCUUCCAGAGGACCUGGGUUCAAUUCCCAG
Molecule: transfer RNA, 58 nt
Filed under: Mesocricetus auratus (golden hamster)
Lineage: Eukaryota; Metazoa; Chordata; Mammalia; Rodentia; Cricetidae
Rfam family: tRNA
About the family: Transfer RNA (tRNA) molecules are approximately 80 nucleotides in length. Their secondary structure includes four short double-helical elements and three loops (D, anti-codon, and T loops).
Source: Rfam by way of RNAcentral